CAGGCCUAACACAUGCAAGUCGAACGAGAAAGUGGAGCAAUCCAUGAGUAAAGUGGCGACCGGGUGAGUAACACGUGACUAACCUACCUUUCAGUGGGGAAUAACCUCGGGAAACCGGGGCUAAUACCGCAUAAUGUCUUCGGACCAAAGGAGCAAUUCGCUGGAAGAGGGGGUCGCGGCCGAUUAGCUAGUUGGCGGGGUAACGGCCCACCAAGGCAAUGAUCGGUAGCCGGCCUGAGAGGGCGCACGGCCACACUGGAACUGAAACACGGUCCAGACUCCUACGGGAGGCAGCAGUGGGGAAUUUUGCGCAAUGGGGGAAACCCUGACGCAGCAACGCCGCGUGGAGGAUGAAGCCCCUUGGGGUGUAAACUCCUUUCGAUCGGGACGAUUAUGACGGUACCGGAAGAAGAAGCACCGGCUAACUCUGUGCCAGCAGCCGCGGUAAUACA
This 452-nucleotide ribosomal RNA is filed under the name uncultured Acidobacteriota bacterium. RNAcentral describes it as "bacterial SSU rRNA". It matches the Rfam family "Bacterial small subunit ribosomal RNA", at positions 43 to 527 of the family's 1533-position model. Lineage: Bacteria; Pseudomonadati; Acidobacteriota. The record is from RNAcentral.